UUCCGGUUGAUCCUGCCGGACCCGACUGCUAUCAGAGUAGGACUAAGCCAUGCGAGUCGACGUAGCAAUGCGUGGCGAACGGCUCAGUAACACGUAGUCAACAUGCCCAAGGGACGUGGAUAACCUCGGGAAACUGAGAAUAAACCACGAUAGGUCAUGAUUUCUGGAAUGGAUCAUGGCUCAAAUCUACAUGGCCCCUGGAUUGGACUGCGGCCGAUCAGGCAGUUGGUGAGGUAAAGGCCCACCAAACCUAUAACCGGUACGGGCUCUGAGAGGAGAAGCCCGGAGAUGGGCACUGAGACAAGGGCCCAGGCCCUAUGGGGCGCAGCAGGCGCGAAACCUCUGCAAUUGGCGAAAGCCUGACAGGGUUACUCUGAGUGAUUUCCGCUAAGGGGAUCUUUUGGCACCUCUAAAAAUGGUGCAGAAUAAGGGGUGGGCAAGUCUGGUGUCAGCCGCCGCGGUAAUACCAGCACCCCGAGUGGUCGGGACGAUUAUUGGGCCUAAAGCAUCCGUAGCCGGUUCUGCAAGUCUUCCGUUAAAUCCAGCCGCUCAACGGAUGGGCCGCGGAGGAUACUACAGGACUAGGAGGCGGGAGAGGCAAGCGGUACUCAGUGGGUAGGGGUAAAAUCCUUUGAUCCAUUGAAGACCACCAGUGGCGAAGGCGGCUUGCCAGAACGCGCUCGACGGUGAGGGAUGAGAGCUGGGGGAGCAAGCCGGAUUAGAUACCCGGGUAGUCCCAG
This 740-nucleotide ribosomal RNA is filed under the name uncultured archaeon. RNAcentral describes it as "bacterial SSU rRNA". It matches the Rfam family "Archaeal small subunit ribosomal RNA", at positions 1 to 750 of the family's 1478-position model. The record is from RNAcentral.